This is a long non-coding RNA of Seriola dumerili (greater amberjack), 911 nucleotides long. RefSeq lists it as uncharacterized. The transcript is spliced from 5 exons. Lineage: Eukaryota; Metazoa; Chordata; Actinopteri; Carangiformes; Carangidae. The record is from RefSeq and is a predicted model, not a curated record.
CUCGCCAUGCAGCCGUGCGGAGAUAUUGGGGACAGCCUGCGCAGCGGAUGAAACAGAUGAAAAGCUUUCGCUGGGAUGUGAAUAAUCCCGUCCUCGCGACAGUCGUCGGACCACCUCGUAGAUUAUAACUCGGCUGAGGAUCACUUUCUAGGCUGUUUGAAUUAAAUGAAGAGCGGCGGCGGCGUCGACACGCACGCAGUUCUUCAGUCGACCUUCUUCCUGGACACUUUGCGAAGCGCCAAAACAACACGCAGCAGCUGCAGCCGGAGAGGAAGCCUCAACAUGCAGCUUUUUCCUCGGUUUCCACUCCUGCCUGUUGCACUGUGGACGCUGAGGAGGAGACUUUCAUCUGACAAGCAACAAGCACAUGGUGCGUUGUUAUGUUUACCCUGCAGAUCAAUGAAUAGCAAGAAAACAGAGGCCCUGAAACAAUCACUAGAUGUGGAUGAAAGCGGGAAGAGCUGCCGAAUUUCGUAUCCCGACCAGACGUUUGCCAUCUUUGCACUGAAAUAUUGGCAGUAAGAUGGGUUUUGACUCCAGCCACAGGCACAACCAAUUUGGCCAACAAGUGAAAUCACGGACAGACAGACUGGCGAUCGCAGCAGCAUUAGUACCAGCUACACCAAAGCUUGCCGACCUGUAGGACCUUUCUGAUGUUCGUACGGGGUGAGGUAGUAGGUUGUGUGGUUUCAGGGUAGUGAUUUUGCCCAAUCAGGAGAUAACUAUACAACCUACUGCCUUCCCUGAAGGGCAGCAAUCCUUCAACAUACAGACAACAGGGGGUUGAGUCAUCAAGCCAUCUCUUAGCUGGACCAUAGGCAUCCACAGCCAGUCAAAGCAGCGGGUCCUGUCUGCUGCUAUGACAGGACCAGCAGGUAAAUGGAAUUUCUGUUUGCUUUUGAUUUUCUGCC